RNAcentral lists this ribosomal RNA (301 nucleotides) under uncultured bacterium. RNAcentral describes it as "partial 16S ribosomal RNA". It matches the Rfam family "Bacterial small subunit ribosomal RNA", at positions 509 to 807 of the family's 1533-position model. The record is from RNAcentral.
CAGCAGCCGCGGGAAUACGUAGGGUGCGAGCGUUAAUCGGAAUUACUGGGCGUAAAGCGUGCGCAGGCGGUUGUGUAAGACAGGUGUGAAAUCCCCGGGCUUAACCUGGGAACUGCGCUUGUGACUGCACAGCUAGAGUGUGGCAGAGGGGGGUGGAAUUCCACGUGUAGCAGUGAGAUGCGUAGAGAUGUGGAGGAACACCGAUGGCGAAGGCAGCCCCCUGGGCCAAUACUGACGCUCAUGCACGAAAGCGUGGGGAGCAAACAGGAUUAGAUACCCCCGUAGUCCCUGUCUCUUAUAC